UAGAGAAUGGGGCAGAGGCCUGGGA
This 25-nucleotide non-coding RNA is filed under the name Mus musculus (house mouse). The record is from RNAcentral. RNAcentral also lists the same sequence under 1 other name. Lineage: Eukaryota; Metazoa; Chordata; Mammalia; Rodentia; Muridae.